Molecule: small nuclear RNA, 154 nt
Filed under: Leersia perrieri
Lineage: Eukaryota; Viridiplantae; Streptophyta; Magnoliopsida; Poales; Poaceae
Description: U2 spliceosomal RNA
Rfam family: U2 spliceosomal RNA
About the family: U2 is a small nuclear RNA (snRNA) component of the spliceosome (involved in pre-mRNA splicing).
Source: Rfam by way of RNAcentral
AUUUUUCUGUUUUCCAUAAGUGUAGUAUCUGUUAUAUAUGUACUGCUUUGAUAUUCAUUUUUUUGGGGCGGAGGGUCCACCUUAGUUGCUUGCCUUUGGGGCCCUCGUGUGUCGCUUAGGCGUUGCACUAUAGCCUGGCCCUGUCGCACCCCAA